Molecule: ribosomal RNA, 253 nt
Filed under: uncultured bacterium
Lineage: Bacteria
Description: partial 16S ribosomal RNA
Rfam family: Bacterial small subunit ribosomal RNA
Source: RNAcentral
UACAGAGGUGGCAAGCGUUGUUCGGAAUUACUGGGCGUAAAGGGCGCGUAGGCGGCCAUCUAAGUCAGACGUGAAAUCCCCCGGCUUAACCUGGGAACUGCGUCUGAUACUGGACGGCUCGAGUUUGGGAGAGGGAUGUGGAAUUCCAGGUGUAGCGGUGAAAUGCGUAGAUAUCUGGAGGAACACCGGUGGCGAAGGCGGCAUCCUGGACCGGCAUUGACGCUGAGGCGCGAAAGCCAGGGGAGCAAACGGG